This 76-nucleotide transfer RNA is filed under the name Actinomycetota bacterium. RNAcentral describes it as "Actinobacteria bacterium (freshwater metagenome) tRNA-Val". It matches the Rfam family "tRNA". Rfam says of the family: Transfer RNA (tRNA) molecules are approximately 80 nucleotides in length. Their secondary structure includes four short double-helical elements and three loops (D, anti-codon, and T loops). Lineage: Bacteria; Bacillati; Actinomycetota. The record is from RNAcentral.
GGGCCUGUAGCUCAGUUGGUAGAGCACUUCCCUUACAAGGAAGGGGUCGUCGGUUCGAGGCCGGCCGGGCCCACCG